AGUGAAGAAGGGCACAUUGGUAGUCAGUGUCAGAAACCAAAGAGGGCGCAGACAAGUGGUAAAGUGUUCGCUUUGGUUGAGGAUCAGACAACUGUUAAGGACAUACUUAUUAGAGGUACAUGUUUCAUCAAUAGUACUCCUUUAAUCACUAUUAUUGAUACCAAUGCUACUCAUUAUUUUAUUGCUACUGAUUGUGUUGAAAGAUUGGGUUUUAUGUUCUCUUCUAUGAAGGGAGAAAUGGUCGUCGAUACUCCAGCCAAGGGGUCGGUGACUACUUCUCUUGUGUGUUUAAAGUGUCCCUUGUCGAUCUUCGACAGAGACUUUGCUGUUAAUUUGGUUUGUUUAUAG
Vicia faba (fava bean) is the source of this 348-nucleotide non-coding RNA. The record is from the annotation of a GenBank genome assembly. Lineage: Eukaryota; Viridiplantae; Streptophyta; Magnoliopsida; Fabales; Fabaceae.